Molecule: ribosomal RNA, 490 nt
Filed under: uncultured bacterium
Lineage: Bacteria
Description: partial 16S ribosomal RNA
Rfam family: Bacterial small subunit ribosomal RNA
Source: RNAcentral
GAUGAACGCUAGCUACAGGCUUAACACAUGCAAGUCGCGGGGCAGCAUGGGGGUUGCUUGCAAUCCCCGAUGGCGACCGGCGCACGGGUGAGUAACGCGUAUCCAACCUGCCCUUCACCACGGGAUAACCCGGCGAAAGUCGGACUAAUACCGUAUGUUGUCCAUUGACGGCAUCCGAUUCGGACGAAAGGCUUGGCGGUGAAGGAUGGGGUUGCGACCGAUUAGCUGGACGGCGGGGUGACGGCCCCCUGUGGCGACGAUCGGUAGGGGUGCUGAGAGGAAGGUCCCCCACACUGGAACUGAGACACGGUCCAGACUCCUACGGGAGGCAGCAGUGAGGAAUAUUGGUCAAUGGGCGUAAGCCUGAACCAGCCAAGUAGCGUGCAGGAGGACGGCCCUAUGGGUUGUAAACUGCUUUUAUGCGGGGAUAAAGUGGCCCACGUGUGGGUUUUUGCAGGUACCGCAUGAAUAAGGACCGGCUAAUUCCGUG